This 2904-nucleotide ribosomal RNA is filed under the name Escherichia coli. RNAcentral describes it as "23S ribosomal RNA". It matches the Rfam family "Bacterial large subunit ribosomal RNA". The record is from RNAcentral. Lineage: Bacteria; Pseudomonadati; Pseudomonadota; Gammaproteobacteria; Enterobacterales; Enterobacteriaceae.
GGUUAAGCGACUAAGCGUACACGGUGGAUGCCCUGGCAGUCAGAGGCGAUGAAGGACGUGCUAAUCUGCGAUAAGCGUCGGUAAGGUGAUAUGAACCGUUAUAACCGGCGAUUUCCGAAUGGGGAAACCCAGUGUGUUUCGACACACUAUCAUUAACUGAAUCCAUAGGUUAAUGAGGCGAACCGGGGGAACUGAAACAUCUAAGUACCCCGAGGAAAAGAAAUCAACCGAGAUUCCCCCAGUAGCGGCGAGCGAACGGGGAGCAGCCCAGAGCCUGAAUCAGUGUGUGUGUUAGUGGAAGCGUCUGGAAAGGCGCGCGAUACAGGGUGACAGCCCCGUACACAAAAAUGCACAUGCUGUGAGCUCGAUGAGUAGGGCGGGACACGUGGUAUCCUGUCUGAAUAUGGGGGGACCAUCCUCCAAGGCUAAAUACUCCUGACUGACCGAUAGUGAACCAGUACCGUGAGGGAAAGGCGAAAAGAACCCCGGCGAGGGGAGUGAAAAAGAACCUGAAACCGUGUACGUACAAGCAGUGGGAGCACGCUUAGGCGUGUGACUGCGUACCUUUUGUAUAAUGGGUCAGCGACUUAUAUUCUGUAGCAAGGUUAACCGAAUAGGGGAGCCGAAGGGAAACCGAGUCUUAACUGGGCGUUAAGUUGCAGGGUAUAGACCCGAAACCCGGUGAUCUAGCCAUGGGCAGGUUGAAGGUUGGGUAACACUAACUGGAGGACCGAACCGACUAAUGUUGAAAAAUUAGCGGAUGACUUGUGGCUGGGGGUGAAAGGCCAAUCAAACCGGGAGAUAGCUGGUUCUCCCCGAAAGCUAUUUAGGUAGCGCCUCGUGAAUUCAUCUCCGGGGGUAGAGCACUGUUUCGGCAAGGGGGUCAUCCCGACUUACCAACCCGAUGCAAACUGCGAAUACCGGAGAAUGUUAUCACGGGAGACACACGGCGGGUGCUAACGUCCGUCGUGAAGAGGGAAACAACCCAGACCGCCAGCUAAGGUCCCAAAGUCAUGGUUAAGUGGGAAACGAUGUGGGAAGGCCCAGACAGCCAGGAUGUUGGCUUAGAAGCAGCCAUCAUUUAAAGAAAGCGUAAUAGCUCACUGGUCGAGUCGGCCUGCGCGGAAGAUGUAACGGGGCUAAACCAUGCACCGAAGCUGCGGCAGCGACGCUUAUGCGUUGUUGGGUAGGGGAGCGUUCUGUAAGCCUGUGAAGGUGUGCUGUGAGGCAUGCUGGAGGUAUCAGAAGUGCGAAUGCUGACAUAAGUAACGAUAAAGCGGGUGAAAAGCCCGCUCGCCGGAAGACCAAGGGUUCCUGUCCAACGUUAAUCGGGGCAGGGUGAGUCGACCCCUAAGGCGAGGCCGAAAGGCGUAGUCGAUGGGAAACAGGUUAAUAUUCCUGUACUUGGUGUUACUGCGAAGGGGGGACGGAGAAGGCUAUGUUGGCCGGGCGACGGUUGUCCCGGUUUAAGCGUGUAGGCUGGUUUUCCAGGCAAAUCCGGAAAAUCAAGGCUGAGGCGUGAUGACGAGGCACUACGGUGCUGAAGCAACAAAUGCCCUGCUUCCAGGAAAAGCCUCUAAGCAUCAGGUAACAUCAAAUCGUACCCCAAACCGACACAGGUGGUCAGGUAGAGAAUACCAAGGCGCUUGAGAGAACUCGGGUGAAGGAACUAGGCAAAAUGGUGCCGUAACUUCGGGAGAAGGCACGCUGAUAUGUAGGUGAGGUCCCUCGCGGAUGGAGCUGAAAUCAGUCGAAGAUACCAGCUGGCUGCAACUGUUUAUUAAAAACACAGCACUGUGCAAACACGAAAGUGGACGUAUACGGUGUGACGCCUGCCCGGUGCCGGAAGGUUAAUUGAUGGGGUCAGCGCAAGCGAAGCUCUUGAUCGAAGCCCCGGUAAACGGCGGCCGUAACUAUAACGGUCCUAAGGUAGCGAAAUUCCUUGUCGGGUAAGUUCCGACCUGCACGAAUGGCGUAAUGAUGGCCAGGCUGUCUCCACCCGAGACUCAGUGAAAUUGAACUCGCUGUGAAGAUGCAGUGUACCCGCGGCAAGACGGAAAGACCCCGUGAACCUUUACUAUAGCUUGACACUGAACAUUGAGCCUUGAUGUGUAGGAUAGGUGGGAGGCUUUGAAGUGUGGACGCCAGUCUGCAUGGAGCCGACCUUGAAAUACCACCCUUUAAUGUUUGAUGUUCUAACGUUGACCCGUAAUCCGGGUUGCGGACAGUGUCUGGUGGGUAGUUUGACUGGGGCGGUCUCCUCCUAAAGAGUAACGGAGGAGCACGAAGGUUGGCUAAUCCUGGUCGGACAUCAGGAGGUUAGUGCAAUGGCAUAAGCCAGCUUGACUGCGAGCGUGACGGCGCGAGCAGGUGCGAAAGCAGGUCAUAGUGAUCCGGUGGUUCUGAAUGGAAGGGCCAUCGCUCAACGGAUAAAAGGUACUCCGGGGAUAACAGGCUGAUACCGCCCAAGAGUUCAUAUCGACGGCGGUGUUUGGCACCUCGAUGUCGGCUCAUCACAUCCUGGGGCUGAAGUAGGUCCCAAGGGUAUGGCUGUUCGCCAUUUAAAGUGGUACGCGAGCUGGGUUUAGAACGUCGUGAGACAGUUCGGUCCCUAUCUGCCGUGGGCGCUGGAGAACUGAGGGGGGCUGCUCCUAGUACGAGAGGACCGGAGUGGACGCAUCACUGGUGUUCGGGUUGUCAUGCCAAUGGCACUGCCCGGUAGCUAAAUGCGGAAGAGAUAAGUGCUGAAAGCAUCUAAGCACGAAACUUGCCCCGAGAUGAGUUCUCCCUGACCCUUUAAGGGUCCUGAAGGAACGUUGAAGACGACGACGUUGAUAGGCCGGGUGUGUAAGCGCAGCGAUGCGUUGAGCUAACCGGUACUAAUGAACCGUGAGGCUUAACCUU